Molecule: long non-coding RNA, 352 nt
Organism: Seriola dumerili (greater amberjack)
Lineage: Eukaryota; Metazoa; Chordata; Actinopteri; Carangiformes; Carangidae
Exons: 3
Source: RefSeq, a predicted model, not a curated record
CAGGUGGAGAGGGGGGAGACAGGAGGUGAGUCAGUUGUGGUGCCCCCGCUGCCUGUCUUCCUGUUCCCCUCUGAGCUGGUGUUCUACUCUGGACAGAGAAACUCACACAGGAGAGUUUUAACUCUGUACAACCCCUACAGAUUCAGGAUCAGCUUCAAGAUGUUGUGUACUGCUCCCUCGCUCUACAGAGUGGUGGAGGCAGAGGGGGGCGUCCGAGCCCAGUCCUGUGUCGACCUGGUGGUGCGUCACCUGGACGUCUCCCCUCGGAACUGGAGCCGCAGAGACCGGUUCCGCAUGGAAGUCAGAGGAGGGGGUCAGAUGGGAGAACGGGAGAUCUGGGCAGAGCUGAGAG